GACGAACGCUGGCGGCGUGCUUAACACAUGCAAGUCGAACGGAAAGGCCCUGCUUUUGUGCGGUGCUCGAGUGGCGAACGGGUGUGUAUCACGUGAGUAACCUCCCCUUUACUUUGGGAUAACUUCAGUAAACUGGGGCUAAUACCGGAUAUGAGCUCCUUCUGCAUGGUUGUGGUUGGUAAGUUUCGGCGGUUCGGGAUGGACUCGAGGCCUAUCAGCUUGUUGGUGGGUUAGUGGCUUACCAAGGCUCUGACGGGUAGCCGGACUGAGAGGGUGACCGGCCACAUUGGGACUGAGAAACGGCCAAGACUCAUACGGGAGGCAGCAGUGGGGAAUAUUGCACAAUGGGCGGAAGGCUGAUGCAGCAACGCCGCGUGCGGGAUGACGGCUUUCGGGUUGGAAACCGCUUGCGCCUGUGACGAAGCGUGAGUGACGGUAAUGGGUAAAGAAGCACCGGCUAACUACGUG
Molecule: ribosomal RNA, 468 nt
Filed under: uncultured bacterium
Lineage: Bacteria
Description: partial 16S ribosomal RNA
Rfam family: Bacterial small subunit ribosomal RNA
Source: RNAcentral